Molecule: unclassified non-coding RNA, 289 nt
Filed under: Hevea brasiliensis (rubber tree)
Lineage: Eukaryota; Viridiplantae; Streptophyta; Magnoliopsida; Malpighiales; Euphorbiaceae
Source: RNAcentral
GUGAGCAUAAAAUGAAAUGAAGUUCCGAUUGCACAUAGUCUUUAAAAAGAAAUAUGCAAGUCCAAUCUGUAACUAAACAAUUCUAAGAAAAUUGUCACUUAGAUUUAAGAGUAAAUAAAAAGAGUUCCUCAAUCACACACAAUAUACUAGAGCUUAGGAAGUUUGGCAAAUUCAAGUAUCCCUCAAGUGAAAACAGACUACCUAGUGUAAGAGUUUUUGAUGCUCAGCUUUUUUCUAAGGCACUCGACAAAUUUUGAUCUGUAAUUAUCAUUAACUCUAUCUCUCAAGG